UCAGGCCAUCAUCAUUUUGAAGCUGAAGAGAACCGGCCCAUGUGCUGGGAAACUUCAGCCGGGCGCUGUGGUGGAGAACGCUUUCAGUCAGGACCAGAAUGCUGAUAGUCUGAAUUACGCUUCAGUUCAGUUUAAAGAGAAGAAACCUAAACGAGAAGAGAGACGGAGGAGAGAGGAACCGGAGGAACUGGUCUACUCUCAAGUCAGAUCCACCACUCACCGUCCAAAACAUUAGAUCUACUAGAGCUUAGUAUUACAGUCUUUACAGACAGACAAAAAAGAUAGAUAGACAGGCAUACAGAUAUUAGAUGUUAGACAGAGCAACAUAUAUUAAGUAGAAUUAAAAAAAAACAUUGUACAGUAUUAAGAGUAAAUCUAUUAUCAUAUUUACA
Astyanax mexicanus (Mexican tetra) is the source of this 392-nucleotide long non-coding RNA. RefSeq lists it as uncharacterized. The transcript is spliced from 3 exons. The record is from RefSeq and is a predicted model, not a curated record. Lineage: Eukaryota; Metazoa; Chordata; Actinopteri; Characiformes; Acestrorhamphidae.